UACGUAGGUGGCAAGCGUUGUCCGGAUUUACUGGGCGUAAAGAGCGCGCAGGCGGUCGUUCAAGUCGCGUGUGAAAGCCCCCGGCUCAACUGGGGAGGGUCACGCGAUACUGAUCGACUCGAAGGCAGGAGAGGGUAGUGGAAUUCCCGGUGUAGCAGUGAAAUGCGUAGAGAUCGGGAGGAACAUCCGUGGCGAAGGCGACUACCUGGACCAGCACUGACACUGAGGCACGAAAGCGUGGGGAGCAAACAGG
This 253-nucleotide ribosomal RNA is filed under the name uncultured bacterium. Its description in RNAcentral is "partial 16S ribosomal RNA". It matches the Rfam family "Bacterial small subunit ribosomal RNA", at positions 524 to 776 of the family's 1533-position model. The record is from RNAcentral.